GACGAACGCUGUCGGCGUGCUUAACACAUGCCAGUCGAACGGAAAGGCCCUGCUUUUGUGGGGUGCUCGAGUGGCGAACGGGUGAGUAACACGUGAGUAACCUGCCCUUGACUUUGGGAUAACUUCAGGAAACUGGGGCUAAUACCGGAUAGGAGCUCCUGCUGCAUGGUGGGGGUUGGAAAGUUUCGGCGGUUGGGGAUGGACUCGCGGCUUAUCAGCUUGUUGGUGGGGUAGUGGCUUACCAAGGCUUUGACGGGUAGCCGGCCUGAGAGGGUGACCGGCCACAUUGGGACUGAGAUACGGCCCAGACUCCUACGGGAGGCAGCAGUGGGGAAUAUUGCACAAUGGGCGGAAGCCUGAUGCAGCAACGCCGCGUGCGGGAUGACGGCCUUCGGGUUGUAAACCGCUUUCGCCUGUGACGAAGCGUGAGUGACGGUAAUGGGUAAAGAAGCACCGGCUAACUACGUG
This 468-nucleotide ribosomal RNA is filed under the name uncultured bacterium. RNAcentral's name for it is "partial 16S ribosomal RNA". It matches the Rfam family "Bacterial small subunit ribosomal RNA", at positions 28 to 507 of the family's 1533-position model. The record is from RNAcentral.